This 253-nucleotide ribosomal RNA is filed under the name uncultured bacterium. RNAcentral describes it as "partial 16S ribosomal RNA". It matches the Rfam family "Bacterial small subunit ribosomal RNA", at positions 524 to 776 of the family's 1533-position model. The record is from RNAcentral.
GACGUAGGGCGCGAGCGUUGUCCGGAUUUAUUGGGCGUAAAGAGCUCGUAGGCGGCUCGUUGCGUCGGCUGUGAAAACCCGCAGCUCAACUGUGGGCUUGCAGCUGAUACGGGCGGGCUGGGAUUCGGUAGGGGAGCCUGGAAUUCCUGGUGUAGCGGUGAAAUGCGCAGAUAUCAGGAGGAACACCGAUGGCGAAGGCGGGUCUCUGGGCAGAUACUGACGAUGAGGAGCGAAAGCGUGGGGAGCGAACAGG